This 569-nucleotide ribosomal RNA is filed under the name uncultured bacterium. RNAcentral describes it as "partial 16S ribosomal RNA". It matches the Rfam family "Bacterial small subunit ribosomal RNA", at positions 355 to 914 of the family's 1533-position model. The record is from RNAcentral.
UGGGGAAUAUUGGACAAUGGGCGCAAGCCUGAUCCAGCCAUACCGCGUGGGUGAAGAAGGCCUUCGGGUUGUAAAGCCCUUUUGUUGGGAAAGAAAAGCAUUCGGUUAAUACCCGAUUGUUCUGACGGUACCCAAAGAAUAAGCACCGGCUAACUUCGUGCCAGCAGCCGCGGUAAUACGAAGGGUGCAAGCGUUACUCGGAAUUACUGGGCGUAAAGCGUGCGUAGGUGGUUGUUUAAGUCUGUCGUGAAAGCCCUGGGCUCAACCUGGGAAUUGCGAUGGAAACUGGGCGACUAGAGUGUGGCAGAGGGUAGUGGAAUUCCUGGUGUAGCAGUGAAAUGCGUAGAGAUCAGGAGGAACAUCCGUGGCGAAGGCGACUGCCUGGGCCAACACUGACACUGAGGCACGAAAGCGUGGGGAGCAAACAGGAUUAGAUACCCUGGUAGUCCACGCCCUAAACGAUGCGAACUGGAUGUUGGGUGCAAUUUUGGCACGCAGUAUCGAAGCUAACGCGUUAAGUUCGCCGCCUGGGGAGUACGGUCGCAAGACUGAAACUCAAAGGAAUUGAC